RNAcentral lists this ribosomal RNA (1508 nucleotides) under Staphylococcus aureus M0681. RNAcentral's name for it is "bacterial LSU rRNA". It matches the Rfam family "Bacterial large subunit ribosomal RNA", at positions 536 to 2047 of the family's 2925-position model. Lineage: Bacteria; Bacillati; Bacillota; Bacilli; Caryophanales; Staphylococcaceae. The record is from RNAcentral.
GAGUGAAAUAGAACCUGAAACCGUGUGCUUACAAGUAGUCAGAGCCCGUUAAUGGGUGAUGGCGUGCCUUUUGUAGAAUGAACCGGCGAGUUACGAUUUGAUGCAAGGUUAAGCAGUAAAUGUGGAGCCGUAGCGAAAGCGAGUCUGAAUAGGGCGUUUAGUAUUUGGUCGUAGACCCGAAACCAGGUGAUCUACCCUUGGUCAGGUUGAAGUUCAGGUAACACUGAAUGGAGGACCGAACCGACUUACGUUGAAAAGUGAGCGGAUGAACUGAGGGUAGCGGAGAAAUUCCAAUCGAACCUGGAGAUAGCUGGUUCUCUCCGAAAUAGCUUUAGGGCUAGCCUCAAGUGAUGAUUAUUGGAGGUAGAGCACUGUUUGGACGAGGGGCCCCUCUCGGGUUACCGAAUUCAGACAAACUCCGAAUGCCAAUUAAUUUAACUUGGGAGUCAGAACAUGGGUGAUAAGGUCCGUGUUCGAAAGGGAAACAGCCCAGACCACCAGCUAAGGUCCCAAAAUAUAUGUUAAGUGGAAAAGGAUGUGGCGUUGCCCAGACAACUAGGAUGUUGGCUUAGAAGCAGCCAUCAUUUAAAGAGUGCGUAAUAGCUCACUAGUCGAGUGACACUGCGCCGAAAAUGUACCGGGGCUAAACAUAUUACCGAAGCUGUGGAUUGUCCUUUGGACAAUGGUAGGAGAGCGUUCUAAGGGCGUUGAAGCAUGAUCGUAAGGACAUGUGGAGCGCUUAGAAGUGAGAAUGCCGGUGUGAGUAGCGAAAGACGGGUGAGAAUCCCGUCCACCGAUUGACUAAGGUUUCCAGAGGAAGGCUCGUCCGCUCUGGGUUAGUCGGGUCCUAAGCUGAGGCCGACAGGCGUAGGCGAUGGAUAACAGGUUGAUAUUCCUGUACCACCUAUAAUCGUUUUAAUCGAUGGGGGGACGCAGUAGGAUAGGCGAAGCGUGCGAUUGGAUUGCACGUCUAAGCAGUAAGGCUGAGUAUUAGGCAAAUCCGGUACUCGUUAAGGCUGAGCUGUGAUGGGGAGAAGACAUUGAGUCUUCGAGUCGUUGAUUUCACACUGCCGAGAAAAGCCUCUAGAUAGAAAAUAGGUGCCCGUACCGCAAACCGACACAGGUAGUCAAGAUGAGAAUUCUAAGGUGAGCGAGCGAACUCUCGUUAAGGAACUCGGCAAAAUGACCCCGUAACUUCGGGAGAAGGGGUGCUCUUUAGGGUUAACGCCCAGAAGAGCCGCAGUGAAUAGGCCCAAGCGACUGUUUAUCAAAAACACAGGUCUCUGCUAAACCGUAAGGUGAUGUAUAGGGGCUGACGCCUGCCCGGUGCUGGAAGGUUAAGAGGAGUGGUUAGCUUCUGCGAAGCUACGAAUCGAAGCCCCAGUAAACGGCGGCCGUAACUAUAACGGUCCUAAGGUAGCGAAAUUCCUUGUCGGGUAAGUUCCGACCCGCACGAAAGGCGUAACGAUUUGGGCACUGUCUCAACGAGAGACUCGGUGAAAUCAUAG